Molecule: long non-coding RNA, 1429 nt
Filed under: Nicotiana tabacum (common tobacco)
Lineage: Eukaryota; Viridiplantae; Streptophyta; Magnoliopsida; Solanales; Solanaceae
Description: long non-coding RNA (NTAB_LNC007649)
Source: RNAcentral
ACUGAAAAGCUGCUUCUUAUAAUCCUGUUCACACUACUGACUCGCUCCAUACAAAUCUUAAACAAUCAAUCUCCAUGGGCCGGGUGUCGAGAACUGCACAAUUUCCUUCUCUAUCAACUAUCAAAUAGCUCUAUCAGGCAAGUAUCCAAUUCACUUAUUCUUCUCGCGCUUUUUGUUUUUGUUGGGUUGAUUCAUGCGUUUCUUUCUUUCAACGCUAAUAAUUCAAUUUUAUAUUAGCAUUGUCUCUGAAAUAAUGAAUUUCAAACCAUUUUAGAACUGCUAAAUUGAUUUUUUAUACUAAUAUUGAGUGAGGACUGAGGAUGAAUGUGUAGUACUAUGAUGUCUUAAAUCUAAAGAUUCUUAAGGUUUCUUCACUUAGUUAUACUCUGAUAAAUUCUUGUGUUGGUUUUAUGAAAAUCGAAAAUCUAAAUGUUAAACAAAUUGUUCGAACCAAAACCUUCAAUCCCUGAUUCCUUUUAGGACUUUAUUCGCCAGACUUUGAGAACGUCAUCAAAGCAUCGAUAACUAUUGUAGUAUUAGUUUUAUCGCCUUCUCUUGGGGGUCUCUUGCUUAUACUUAUUGUAUGAGAAAGACUACUGAGGUUGAGAAAAAUAUAUUAUCCAUCAGUGAGGCUAAGGUCCCGUAAAGUUAUUAUUGCAAGUUGCCAAAUAUUAUUGGCUUGAAUUUUAUUUGAACUUGCUCUUUUUUACUUCCUAAAUUAUUGAGUCUGAAUUGAGUCGGUUGACCUAUAAUUUUUCAAAUUCUUACAUUCUGGUUUCAAAAAGAAUACUAGACAGACCGAGUUGUGAUUUUCUGUGAAAAUUCUUUCUCUUUUCUUUUAAUUUUAGUCUUGGCAGAAGUUGUUACUUUUUGCUCUUUAUUGUGGAGGCACUAUAAUAGUUCUGGUCUGAUCCUGAUAUAGGUUGUAUGUUUCAGUUAGGUCUGCUCGUGGUUUAUUUGAUCGAAGUUGUGGUUGUUGUUGCAGUUACAUGGAGGAAUGUGUUAGAGCGCAAAGCACCUGAAAUCACUCUUGCCAAAAUAGCGCAAAAGGAACAUACUAUUCGGAAUAGGACCAUGAGAAAUUUGAGUUGGUGAGUUUUUCAGUUGAAGAUAGAAGCAGAAGAUGAGCGAGAGUUUGUUUUAAGAUUUUCAUUUGUUAUCACGGUGGUUCUUUUGAUGGAUAGAAGAAGCAGUCUGAUCUGAAUACAAUCCAAAGGUAAGUAUCCGUUAACCUUACAUGGUCAUAUCAUGAAUGGAGUGUCAUAUGCUCUAUUGCGUUUCAUGGGGCAACUAUGUUGAGCGGAUGAUAUUUUUUGAGUUUAACAUUAUUUUAGCAGCAUGAUGCUCACAGUUACUUUAUAAAUUGUUCAUAUUAUAAAUGGUUAUGUUCAAGUUGCUGGAUUCUUAUGACAUAUCAAAUGAAUCUGUA